RNAcentral lists this small RNA (152 nucleotides) under Lupinus albus (white lupine). The record is from RNAcentral. Lineage: Eukaryota; Viridiplantae; Streptophyta; Magnoliopsida; Fabales; Fabaceae.
AGGUGCGAUCAUACCAGCACUAAUGCACCGGAUCCCAUCAGAACUCCGCAGGUAAGCGUGCUUGGGCGAGAGUAGUACUAGGAUGGGUGACCUCCUGUGAAGUGCUCGUGUUGCACCUCUUUUUUUCACGGGAGGUAGCAUUAACGGACUCG